GACAGGGGGCUCGAGCGUUAAUCGGAAUCAUUGGGCUUACAGGGUGCGUAGGCGGGUUGCUAAGUGUUCUGUGACAUCCCCCGGCUCAACCGGGGAAUCGCAGGGCAUACUGGCAGCCUUGAGGCAUGUAAGGGCGGACGGAACUGUAGGUGGAGCGGUGAAAUGCGUAGAUAUCUACAGGAACGCCGAUGGUGAAGACGGUCCGCUGGGCAUGUCCUGACGCUGAGGCACGAAAGCGUGGGGAGCAAACAGG
This 253-nucleotide ribosomal RNA is filed under the name uncultured bacterium. RNAcentral describes it as "partial 16S ribosomal RNA". It matches the Rfam family "Bacterial small subunit ribosomal RNA", at positions 524 to 776 of the family's 1533-position model. The record is from RNAcentral.